This 492-nucleotide ribosomal RNA is filed under the name uncultured bacterium. Its description in RNAcentral is "partial 16S ribosomal RNA". It matches the Rfam family "Bacterial small subunit ribosomal RNA", at positions 30 to 507 of the family's 1533-position model. The record is from RNAcentral.
AUUGAACGCUGGCGGCAUGCUUUACACAUGCAAGUCGAACGGUAACAGGCCUUCGGGUGCUGACGAGUGGCGAACGGGUGAGUAAUGCAUCGGAACGUGCCCAGAGGUGGGGGAUAACGCAGCGAAAGCUGUGCUAAUACCGCAUGUGAUCUGAGGAUGAAAGCGGGGGACCAGGCAGCAAUGUUUGGCCUCGCGCCUUUGGAGCGGCCGAUGUCAGAUUAGGUAGUUGGUGGGGUAAAGGCCUACCAAGCCGACGAUCUGUAGCUGGUCUGAGAGGACGACCAGCCACACUGGGACUGAGACACGGCCCAGACUCCUACGGGAGGCAGAAGUGGGGAAUUUUGGACAAUGGGCGCAAGCCUGAUCCAGCAAUGCCGCGUGCGGGAAGAAGGCCUUCGGGUUGUAAACCGCUUUUGUACGGAACGAAAAGGCUCUGGCUAAUACCUGGGGCUGAUGACGGUACCGUAAGAAUAAGCACCGGCUAACUACGUG